Molecule: long non-coding RNA, 241 nt
Filed under: Elaeis guineensis (African oil palm)
Lineage: Eukaryota; Viridiplantae; Streptophyta; Magnoliopsida; Arecales; Arecaceae
Description: long non-coding RNA (EGUI_LNC000231)
Source: RNAcentral
GUGUGGACGAUCCGCAGAGGCCAGAUAUUUGUGUGGCUGCGAUGUGACGAUCAGAGCCCUCCGACGGUGAUCAGAUUGCGGUGAUCGACUACCCGCAAAAGGUGAUGUGUUCUGAACACAGUACUGUAAAAGGUUUACUGAUUCAAAUUUGAAUUUCAAAUUUAAAUGCAUGCUGUUGUAUCAUAUUUAGAUCCUAGUAUAGGGUUAAUUAGUAUUAAUUAAUGAGAUUAAUUAAUAAUUC